Octodon degus (degu) is the source of this 102-nucleotide small nuclear RNA. Lineage: Eukaryota; Metazoa; Chordata; Mammalia; Rodentia; Octodontidae. The record is from Ensembl.
UUACUUCAGUAGCACAUAUACUAAAACUGUAAUAACAUAGAGAAGAUUAGAGUAGUCCUGUGCAUGCAUGACACACAAAUUUGUGAAGUGCUCCAUAUUUUU